ACUAACAGGAUUCUCUUAGUAACGGCGAGUGAAAAGAGAUUAGCCCAACAUCGAAGCCUCCAUGCUUUUGUGUGGACGGCAAUGUGAUGUAAUGGUGUUUGACUUCGCAGAUUGGCUAACUUGAAGUCCAUAUUUGACUGUGGCUUGUGCGUAUGCACCCAGAGAUGGUGAAAGGCCCGUUCAGGUUGGUUUUCAGAUAUGACAGUUUGCGUAGAUUCAUUCACCAAAGAGUCGGAUUGCUUGAGAUUGCAGUCCAAAUAUGGUGGUAAACUCCAUCAAAGGCUAAAUACCUGUACGAGUCCGAUAGACAACAAGUACCGUGAGGGAAAGUUGAAAAGUACUCUGAAGAGAGAGUAAAUAGUACGUGAAACUACAUGGAGGUUAAACAGAUGGAGUCAAGCUGCGU
Molecule: ribosomal RNA, 406 nt
Filed under: Benedenia acanthopagri
Lineage: Eukaryota; Metazoa; Platyhelminthes; Monogenea; Capsalidea; Capsalidae
Description: eukaryotic LSU rRNA
Rfam family: Eukaryotic large subunit ribosomal RNA
Source: RNAcentral